CCUCCCAAAGUGUUAGGACUACACGUGUGAGCCACUGCACCAGGUGGUGAGACAACAACCUGAACCUGGCUGAGCUAGGGAACAAAAAAUUCUUGCAUCGUUGUUCUAUAACAUUCUUCUUUCUUUGGACCCAGGAAUCCCAAGAGAGCUUGCUUCCUCUAUCUGCCAUUUGAGGACACCACUAGGAGACAAGCAUCUAAGAACCAGGAGAGUAUUAGGCCAUUCUUGCAUUGCUAUAAAGAAAUACCUGAGACUGUGUAAUUUAUGUUUUUUAAAAAAAGGUUUAAUUGGCUCAUGUUUCUUCAGGCUAUGCAACAAGCAUGGCACUGGCAUCUGCCCAGCUCCUGGGGACACCUUAAGGAACUUUGACUCAUGUCAGAAGGUGAAGUGACAGCAGGCACUUCAGAUGCCAAAAGCAGGAGCAAAGAGGGGCUGUGGAAGGUGCCAUAUACUUUUAAAUUGGCAGAUCUCAUGAGGACUCAGAGGGAGAGCUCACUUAUCACCAAGGGGAUGGCCCAAGCCAUUCAUGAGAAAUCCGCCCCCAUGAUCUCAACACCUCUCAC
Long non-coding RNA from Cercocebus atys (sooty mangabey), 563 nucleotides. RefSeq lists it as uncharacterized. The record is from RefSeq and is a predicted model, not a curated record. The transcript is spliced from 3 exons. Lineage: Eukaryota; Metazoa; Chordata; Mammalia; Primates; Cercopithecidae.